RNAcentral lists this ribosomal RNA (253 nucleotides) under uncultured bacterium. RNAcentral describes it as "partial 16S ribosomal RNA". It matches the Rfam family "Bacterial small subunit ribosomal RNA", at positions 524 to 776 of the family's 1533-position model. The record is from RNAcentral.
GACGUAGGGUGCAAGCGUUGUUCGGAAUUACUGGGCGUAAAGCGCACGUAGGCGGCUUUGUAAGUUAGAGGUGAAAGCCCGGAGCUCAACUCCGGAAUUGCCUUUAAGACUGCAUCGCUUGAAUCAUGGAGAGGUGAGUGGAAUUCCGAGUGUAGAGGUGAAAUUCGUAGAUAUUCGGAAGAACACCAGUGGCGAAGGCGACUCACUGGACAUGUAUUGACGCUGAGGUGCGAAAGCGUGGGGAGCAAACAGG